GCGCGUGUGGCGGAAUGGUAGACGCGCCGCGUUCAGGUCGCGGUGUCCUUCGGGACGUGUGGGUUCGACUCCCACCAUGCGCAC
Molecule: transfer RNA, 84 nt
Filed under: compost metagenome
Description: tRNA-Ser
Rfam family: tRNA
About the family: Transfer RNA (tRNA) molecules are approximately 80 nucleotides in length. Their secondary structure includes four short double-helical elements and three loops (D, anti-codon, and T loops).
Source: RNAcentral